This 471-nucleotide ribosomal RNA is filed under the name uncultured Desulfobulbus sp. Its description in RNAcentral is "bacterial SSU rRNA". It matches the Rfam family "Bacterial small subunit ribosomal RNA", at positions 915 to 1382 of the family's 1533-position model. Lineage: Bacteria; Pseudomonadati; Thermodesulfobacteriota; Desulfobulbia; Desulfobulbales; Desulfobulbaceae. The record is from RNAcentral.
GGGGGCCCGGCACAAGCGGUGGAGUAUGUGGUUUAAUUUCGAUGCAACGCGAAGAACCUUACCUGGUCUUGACAUCCCGGAGACCCUUAGGAAACUAGGGGUGCUUCCACUGAAGAAUCUGGAGCGGGUGCUGCAUGGCUGUCGUCAGCUCGUGUCGUGAGAUGUUGGGUUAAGUCCCGCAACGAGCGCAACCCUUGCCUUUAGUUGCCAGCAGUUCGGCUGGGCACUCUAAAGGGACUGCCGGUGUUAAACCGGAGGAAGGUGGGGAUGACGUCAAGUCCUCAUGGCCUUUAUGACCAGGGCUACACACGUACUACAAUGGCCGAUACAAAGGGCAGCGACACUGCGAGGUGAAGCCAAUCCCGUAAAAUCGGUCUCAGUCCGGAUUGGAGUCUGCAACUCGACUCCAUGAAGUUGGAAUCGCUAGUAAUCGUGGAUCAGCAUGCCACGGUGAAUACGUUCCCGGGCCUU